UACGGAGGAUGCAAGCGUUAUCCGGAUUCAUUGGGUUUAAAGGGUGCGCAGGCGGGGAUGUAAGUCAGUGGUGAAAAACUGCCGCUCAACGGUAGUCGUGCCAUUGAUACUGCAUCUCUUGAGUUUGGAUGAGGUAGGCGGAAUGUGCAGUGUAGCGGUGAAAUGCAUAGAGAUUGCACAGAACACCAAUUGCGAAGGCAGCUUACUAAUCCACGACUGACGCUGAGGCACGAAAGCGUGGGGAGCGAACAGG
Molecule: ribosomal RNA, 253 nt
Filed under: uncultured bacterium
Lineage: Bacteria
Description: partial 16S ribosomal RNA
Rfam family: Bacterial small subunit ribosomal RNA
Source: RNAcentral